UACAGAGACUGCAAGCGUUAUUCGGAUUCACUGGGCGUAAAGGGUGCGCAGGCGGCCAGGUGUGUUAGGCGUGAAAGCCCCGGGGCUUAACCCCGGAAUUGCACCUAAAACUACUUGGCUAGAGCAUUGGAGAGGGUAGCGGAAUUCACGGUGUACGCAGUGAAUGCGUAGAUAUCGAUGAGGAACACCAGAGGCGAGGCGGCUACCUGGACAAUUGCUGACGCUCAGGCAGCGAAAGCGUGGGAGCAAAAGGAUUGAGAAACCCU
RNAcentral lists this ribosomal RNA (266 nucleotides) under uncultured bacterium. Its description in RNAcentral is "partial 16S ribosomal RNA". It matches the Rfam family "Bacterial small subunit ribosomal RNA", at positions 524 to 788 of the family's 1533-position model. The record is from RNAcentral.